AACGCUGGCGGCGUGCCUAAUACAUGCAAGUCGAACGAGUUCUGAUUAUUGAAAGGUGCUUGCAUCUUGAUUUUAAUUUUGAACGAGUGGCGGACGGGUGAGUAACACGUGGGUAACCUGCCCUUAAGUGGGGGAUAACAUUUGGAAACAGAUGCUAAUACCGCAUAAAUCCAAGAACCGCAUGGUUCUUGGCUGAAAGAUGGCGUAAGCUAUCGCUUUUGGAUGGACCCGCGGCGUAUUAGCUAGUUGGUGAGGUAACGGCUCACCAAGGCAAUGAUACGUAGCCGAACUGAGAGGUUGAUCGGCCACAUUGGGACUGAGACACGGCCCAAACUCCUACGGGAGGCAGCAGUAGGGAAUCUUCCACAAUGGACGCAAGUCUGAUGGAGCAACGCCGCGUGAGUGAAGAAGGCUUUCGGGUCGUAAAACUCUGUUGUUGGAGAAGAAUGGUCGGCAGAGUAACUGUUGUCGGCGUGACGGUAUCCAACCAGAAAGCCACGGCUAACUACGUGCCAGCAGCCGCGGUAAUACGUAGGUGGCAAGCGUUAUCCGGAUUUAUUGGGCGUAAAGCGAGCGCAGGCGGUUUUUUAAGUCUGAUGUGAAAGCCCUCGGCUUAACCGAGGAAGUGCAUCGGAAACUGGGAAACUUGAGUGCAGAAGAGGACAGUGGAACUCCAUGUGUAGCGGUGAAAUGCGUAGAUAUAUGGAAGAACACCAGUGGCGAAGGCGGCUGUCUGGUCUGUAACUGACGCUGAGGCUCGAAAGCAUGGGUAGCGAACAGGAUUAGAUACCCUGGUAGUCCAUGCCGUAAACGAUGAAUGCUAGGUGUUGGAGGGUUUCCGCCCUUCAGUGCCGCAGCUAACGCAUUAAGCAUUCCGCCUGGGGAGUACGACCGCAAGGUUGAAACUCAAAGGAAUUGACGGGGGCCCGCACAAGCGGUGGAGCAUGUGGUUUAAUUCGAAGCAACGCGAAGAACCUUACCAGGUCUUGACAUCUUUUGAUCACCUGAGAGAUCAGGUUUCCCCUUCGGGGGCAAAAUGACAGGUGGUGCAUGGUUGUCGUCAGCUCGUGUCGUGAGAUGUUGGGUUAAGUCCCGCAACGAGCGCAACCCUUAUGACUAGUUGCCAGCAUUUAGUUGGGCACUCUAGUAAGACUGCCGGUGACAAACCGGAGGAAGGUGGGGAUGACGUCAAAUCAUCAUGCCCCUUAUGACCUGGGCUACACACGUGCUACAAUGGAUGGUACAACGAGUUGCGAGACCGCGAGGUCAAGCUAAUCUCUUAAAGCCAUUCUCAGUUCGGACUGUAGGCUGCAACUUGCCUACACGAAGUCGGAAUCGCUAGUAAUCGCGGAUCAGCACGCCGCGGUGAAUACGUUCCCGGGCCUUGUACACACCGCCCGUCACACCAUGAGAGUUUGUAACACCCGAAGCCGGUGGCGUAACCCUUUUAGGGAGCGAGCCGUCUAAGGUGGGACAAAUGAU
This 1482-nucleotide ribosomal RNA is filed under the name uncultured organism. RNAcentral's name for it is "SSU rRNA". It matches the Rfam family "Bacterial small subunit ribosomal RNA". The record is from RNAcentral.